UGAUGAUCAGAAGAGAAUCUGUUCUUUUUCUCCGGUAAAAAGUCCGCGUUACCGGACCGCUGAUUACACCCACUGAACCGGAAAGAAGGAGCCCUCAGCAGACGUCAAGCUGGCCACCGUAGCAGGAAAGAAGGCCGAGGAAGAGGAGGAGCAGCCUACAGAUCCUCCAGCAGCAGCAGCAGAGGAGGAAGAGGAGGAGUAUGAGGUGGAGAAGAUUUUGGACCACAGAGUGGUAAAGGGAAGAGUAGAGUUUCUGCUGAAAUGGAAGGGGUUCUCAGAUGAGGAUAACACAUGGGAGCCACAAGACAACCUGGACGGCCCCGACCAUAUCGCCGAGUACAUGCAGAAACACAAGGAGAAGGAGGAGAAGAAGAAGGAGGGAAAGAGGAACGUUGUCAGUGAGGCCUCGGGAGACUCAGAGGAGCGAGGGAGCAAGAGGAAGAAGGAGGAGGUGAGUGAAGGAAAGA
This is a long non-coding RNA of Perca fluviatilis (European perch), 467 nucleotides long. RefSeq lists it as uncharacterized. The transcript is spliced from 3 exons. Lineage: Eukaryota; Metazoa; Chordata; Actinopteri; Perciformes; Percidae. The record is from RefSeq and is a predicted model, not a curated record.